UCCCUAUGGGGUGCAGCAGGCGCGAAACCUCUGCAAUAGGCGAAAGCCUGACAGGGUUACUCUGAGUGAUUCCCGCUAAGGGAAUCUUUUGGCAUCUCUAAAAAUGGUGCAGAAUAAGGGGUGGGCAAGUCUGGUGUCAGCCGCCGCGGUAAUACCAGCACCCCGAGUGGUCGGGACGAUUAUUGGGCCUAAAGCAUCCGUAGCCGGUCUUGCAAGUCUUCCGUUAAAUCCAGCUGCUUAACAGAUGGGCUGCGGAGGAUACUACAAGGCUAGGAGGCGGGAGAGGCAAGCGGUACUCAGUGGGUAGGGGUAAAAUCCUCUGAUCCAUUGAAGACCACCAGUGGCGAAAGCGGCCUGCCAGAACGCGCUCGACGGUGAGGGAUGAAAGCUGGGGGAGCGAACCGGAUUAGAUACCCGGGUAGUCCCAGCCGUAAACGAUGCGGGCUAGGUGUUGGGAUGGCUACGUGCCAUUUCAGUGCCGCAGGGAAGCCAUUAAGCCCGCCGCCUGGGGAGUACGGCCGCAAGGCUGAAACUUAAAGGAAUUGGCGGGGGAGCACCACAAGGCGUGAAGGCUGCGGUUUAAUUGGAGUCAACGCCGGAA
RNAcentral lists this ribosomal RNA (601 nucleotides) under uncultured archaeon. Its description in RNAcentral is "bacterial SSU rRNA". It matches the Rfam family "Archaeal small subunit ribosomal RNA", at positions 319 to 923 of the family's 1478-position model. The record is from RNAcentral.